Molecule: long non-coding RNA, 3106 nt
Filed under: Homo sapiens (human)
Lineage: Eukaryota; Metazoa; Chordata; Mammalia; Primates; Hominidae
Description: HSALNT0314519
Source: RNAcentral
GCAGCGGGGCUCCUGGGGCCUGUCGGGAAGGGGCCUGGCGCGCGGGGCCCGCCGGGACUGGGGGUGUGCGGCUGCGCAGACUUGGUAACGCGAGAGCGCGCGGGGAGGGUGUGUCACGCCUCCCGAGACUGGGGCUGUGCGGCCUCACGGAGAAACUGAGGCAGGCGCGAAGCGUCGAGUGCGCGCGUGGCCCUGCAGGCAGGCGGAGACCCUGGUGGCUCCCAUACACGUAACAGCACUCACUGCUCUUUGACGUUAGUGAAUAGACCGUAAGCUCCCUGGAGCAGGGACCUUAUCCCAGCGUCUACCGCGGCGCCCGUCACCUAGGAAACCUCCAUUUUCUAAGGCCUUUCAGCUGAUUGGAUGUGGUCCACCCAUGUUAUUGAAGAUAAUAUUUUUUAAGGCUUCCUCCUUGGAGGGACCUCAGAAGUCCCAGGCUUCAUAGUGUCAAGUUCAACAGAAAGAGUAGUUUUCAUCUUUCCACAGUUCUUAGAAAAGUCCUGAGACUGAGUUUUACUGGGCAAUGUCAGUUUAGUAAAAGGGACAGGAUGUUAGCAAAGGAAGGCAUUACCAGCAAUAAGAAGUGAUAGCUGCCACGGGAAGCAAAUGCAGAAACAGCAGCCUGGGCUGUUCCAUGCAGGGGAGUUCAGCUCAGGUGGGCAAAACCAGAUAACUAACAUGAACAGUGGAACAAUCAGUGAACCAAUACAAGGGUUAAAUAAGCUAGCAAUUAAAAGCUGUAUCACUGGUCUAAAGAUAGAAGAUCAAGUAGAAAAUCAGCGCAAGAGGAAAGAUAUACGAAAACUAAUGACCUUCAAGGUUUGGCUGAACAGCUGAACUGCAGGAUGGAUUGGAAUGCCUAGAACCAGAAACUUAGGAUGCCUAGAACCAGAAACUCAGCCAUUGCUGAGGUUCACUGCUUCUCAGCGCUGCUGCUUUAUACACACAAACUGUAUUCUCUCCCACUGUUUUGUCUUCUUUCAUAAAGCAGGAAACAUAGGUGCUCAUAACUUGUGAGUUUUAAGUCUUACUCUAGAGUUUACAAAUGCAAAUGCCUCUAGGUGCCAGGAAAGUGACAUAAGUAAGUGAAGCAAGCUGAAUGUGCCAAUCCUGAGUGGUGGGGACUGGCAAACUGGAAACCCCAUGCCCUGUCUCCAGAGUCAGCCAUGACUCACUGCCAGUCUAUUGCCAGGUAGGAAUGUGAGCUUAGACUUUCAGAUUUUUCCAGAGAAACUUGACAUCUAGAUUUUUAUGUGAAUAUCCUGAUUUCUAAUGCUGGCAGUGAAUUCAAACUAAAAACCAACACUGUGUUGUCCAAACAAAACACAUUUGUGGGUUACAUUUGACCUCUUGAUUCAUGUGUUACUUUUGGAGUUAAAUAACUCGAGGUCUGAAAAUUGACCACUGAGUUUGGCCACAUCAAGCUUAUUAAUGACCUUGACAAAGCCAAUUUCAGAAGAUGAUGGGGUGAUGCCUGAGUAGAGAGGGUUCAGUAGAGAACUGGGGAUGAGGAAGUAGCUAUGACCUAUAUGGACAGCUCUUUAAAGGAUUUGGCGUAGAGAGGAGCAGAGAAUUGGGGUAAGAGCUGGAGAGCACAGGAAGUUGCUAGGGGAUCUUAAAAGAGGGGACAAAUGACAGAAUGUCUGUUGAUGCUGAUGGAAAUAAUCCACUACAGGGUGAAAACGUCAUGAAAGAGGAGGAUUAUGCUAACACAUGAGGAAUUUCAUGGGCAGGAAGAAAUGGGGACUGGUUUACAAAUGGAGGAGCUGACCCUAGAUAGGAGCCCUUGAAGCUUGUGUAUUGGGACAGGACAGCAGAAUAUAUGGGAGCAGAUGCCUGUAGAUUUAGUGGCAGCAAGAUAAGGGAAUUCUCUUCAGAUUGCUCUAAUUUCUUGUGAAAGAAGAGGCAAGAUCACCAUCAACUGAGGGUGAAGAUGGAAUAGGAAGGGACAGGAGAGGUUGUGAUUCUGUCAUCUUGGAGUAGGCCCACAUCUUGGGGGCUAUCUUGGGGUGCUAUGCCUUACUCCUCUUUUCUGAACAUCAUUAAAAUGUAAUUUUGUAUUUUUGCAUUUAAUGCUAUCCCGCAGGCCCUGAAAGAUGCCUAAAAGGCAGCCUUCCCUCAGGUACCAUUGUGCUGAGGUUUGCCACCCGCAUCUUCUUGAGACAGCCCCACUAAGACAAUGAGAGCGUGUCCUGACCCAUUAAUGUGCCCAGGUUCCCAAACGCCUCUGUCAGCCUGUGGUCUUGACUUUGAAGUAAAACCAGUCCCCUGGUUGCUGUUUCCCCAGCAACAUUAACUGCUGGGGUGCAGAGUGAGGCAGGAGGAGAGUCAGACUUAGCCAGGCUUUGAGUUGCACCAGGCAGAUAAUGUAGAGGGAGGGGGGCAAGUCAUACUUUCCUACUUGUAGAGUAGUGCUUACUUUACAGAGUACCUAUGAAGAUUUGUAAAAAUGCACACUUGGCUUCUGGCCUAGCACAUAGGUAAUUCAGUCAUUACUUGGUGAAGGACAUGAAUAAUAUAUGUAAAAUAUCUGGCCAUUAGAAGAAGCUGGGAAGGGCUAACAGGAUGUAUGAGAGACUGCUUCUGAGUCUUAAUGGCCAGGCAUUGUGCUGAGGCUGUGGGCCAUGGAGGAGCUCCCGUCUUGGCACAGGAGAAAGAAAUGUGGACACACCGCUACCGUGUAGUGUGAUGAGUCUAGGAAUUAAGAUAUACCAGUGGUAAUUAAAUCUCAAAAUAAUAGUGUCUUAACAGAAAUAAACCCAUGCAUAAAUGGUUGGUUGACUUUGACAAAGUGCCAAGUGCACACAAUGGGGAAGGACAAUUGGACAUCCACAUGUAGAAAAAGGUAGUUGGAUCCUAUCACACCACAUAUAAAAAUCAACCCAAAUGGAGUGAAGACUUAAAUGUAAGACCUGAAACUAUAAAACUACUGGAAGAAACAUAGGAGAAAUUCUUCAUGAUGCUGGUCUAGGCAAUGGUUUUUUUUGGAUUUGAUCCCAGAAGCAUAGGCAACAAAAGCAAAAAUCGACAAAUGGGAUUAUAUGAAACUAACAAGCUUUUGCGCAGCAAAGGAAACAAUUAUCAGAGUGAAAACACAGCCUAUGGA